CCUACGGGAGGCAGCAGUGGGGAAUUUUGGACAAUGGGCGCAAGCCUGAUCCAGCCAUGCCGCGUGCGGGAAGAAGGCCUUCGGGUUGUAAACCGCUUUUGUCAGGGAAGAAAAGGUUCUGGAUAAUACCUGGGACUCAUGACGGUACCUGAAGAAUAAGCACCGGCUAACUACGUGCCAGCAGCCGCGGUAAUACGUAGGGUGCAAGCGUUAAUCGGAAUUACUGGGCGUAAAGCGUGCGCAGGCGGUUAUGCAAGACAGAGGUGAAAUCCCCGGGCUCAACCUGGGAACUGCCUUUGUGACUGCAUAGCUAGAGUACGGUAGAGGGGGAUGGAAUUCCGCGUGUAGCAGUGAAAUGCGUAGAUAUGCGGAGGAACACCGAUGGCGAAGGCAAUCCCCUGGACCUGUACUGACGCUCAUGCACGAAAGCGUGGGGAGCAAACAGGAUUAGAUACCCUGGUAGUCCACGCCCUAAACGAUGUCAACUGGUUGUUGGGAGGGUUUCUUCUCAGUAACGUAGCUAACGCGUGAGUUGACCGCCUGGGGNGGACGGCGCGAGUAGUUAACGUUAGAAGAAGUUAGAGGCGNGNGACGNGCGACGGACGACGACGAGGGAGGAGG
RNAcentral lists this ribosomal RNA (621 nucleotides) under uncultured bacterium. RNAcentral's name for it is "bacterial SSU rRNA". The stretch from base 1 to 541 matches the Rfam family "Bacterial small subunit ribosomal RNA", at positions 338 to 873 of the family's 1533-position model. The record is from RNAcentral.